Molecule: ribosomal RNA, 253 nt
Filed under: uncultured bacterium
Lineage: Bacteria
Description: partial 16S ribosomal RNA
Rfam family: Bacterial small subunit ribosomal RNA
Source: RNAcentral
UACGUAGGGACCGAGCGUUGUCCGGAAUCAUUGGGCGUAAAGAGCGUGUAGGCGGCCACUUAAGUCCUGCGUGAAAUCUUGCGGCUCAACCGCAAGCGGUCGUGGGAAACUGGGUGGCUAGAGUGCGGGAGAGGAGAGUGGAAUUCCUGGUGUAGCGGUGGAAUGCGCAGAUAUCAGGAAGAACACCCGUGGCGAAGGCGGCUCUCUGGAACGCAACUGACGCUGAGACGUGAAAGCGUGGGGAGCGAACAGG